UAAAAACCUUAUGGUGCACCCCCAUAACCUCAGUUCGAAUUCCUUCUUUGUUUCUAAAAAUAUUUUUAGCCGAUUAUGCACCAGUGCACCCAGUGAAUGAAUCUUCUAGCUUUACCCCUGAAUGUAUACGUACGAUGUUAAUAAUGUUAAAAGUAACUUUUCAAAUAUAAUAAAAGCGAUCAAAAUAUAUAAUUAGACA
This 199-nucleotide long non-coding RNA is filed under the name Brassica rapa (field mustard). Its description in RNAcentral is "long non-coding RNA (BRAP_LNC003316)". Lineage: Eukaryota; Viridiplantae; Streptophyta; Magnoliopsida; Brassicales; Brassicaceae. The record is from RNAcentral.